CUUGUAUACAACCAUGGCUGACCUCCCCUCCCGACAGGAGAAGACCCAAUCUCAGCAGCACACUGAGCCCUGUCAUUUACACCAGAUUCCUUCCUUUCAACAGGCACAGCUGUUACCAUUUUUGGUAUCUUAAGCCUACGUCAAACUCUAUGCGCAUUUAGUCAGAUUUCUGUUAAGUAACACAGACAAAACUGUUAAUACUGUUUUGAGUGGCUUCAAACUGUUAGCAGAUGGCACAGCAUGCAGCUUUAAGUGAUUCAUGAAACAUAAAAAGGAUAACAAUCUACUGGAAGUGUCUCAUCCAGCUUCAAAGCACCGAACCUGGAUUCCAGUUAAACAGAAUUUGGAUUUCAUUGCAUCAUUUCAAGGGAAUUUACAACACGCUUCAUGGGAGCUUUCACAAAUGACGGAAAUACCUGCAGUUAAGCAACAACUAAGCAGAUUCCUCAGGCAAAACCAAAUCUUCUGGUUGUUUCUAUUGGACAUCUUCAUUUUGUUGUUUUUUUUUUUGGCAGUGGGAGGAAGAUCAUAUUAAGUCUAAUCAGUGAUUUAUUAUGAGUCACAAGAAGUGAAUCAAAUUUAAUGGAAAAUGAAUCACAUACCACAGCAUUACCCAUUACCACUACUUCCUCAGGCUAAAUUUCUUGCUGAUUAUGGAAUUCACUGAUGUUUUUAUUGUCCUCUCUGAUUCUCACAUAUCUCAAACAUCCUAAGAGGUUCGGAUCCUUCAUUACCUAACCAUCAUAAACUUAAUGGAAACAAUCGCAGCAAAUGCUAACAGAACUUGCUUGUGUAGAAACAAACUGCAAAGCAUUCAUGUAACAGCUUACUGCAAACACGGAGCUGUUUGACGUAAGAGUAAAGAAUGAAUUUUUAAAAGUCAAAGCUAGAGGGGCCAUGCCAAAUAUUCACCAGAAUAAAAGCCAUGCCAUAGGAUGUUCAGCACUGCAGGAAAGUGCAAAAUGAAGAAGUUGAGGCUGUAAACAUUGAAGAGCUACUCAAGGGAACAGCACAGCAAGUCUACAAAUGCAGCUACUUCAUAACAAGGCUACAGGUACUAACUACAUCUGAAAAGCACCCUCAAGGCUCCUGUACUCCGUAGGAAAGUAAGUGAAUGGAUAAAUUAAUGAGUAUCACAGGGUUACCACUCCUAAAUAUUAUUACAACCGAAUUUAUUGCUCA
This is a long non-coding RNA of Gallus gallus (chicken), 1182 nucleotides long. RefSeq lists it as uncharacterized. The transcript is spliced from 2 exons. The record is from RefSeq and is a predicted model, not a curated record. Lineage: Eukaryota; Metazoa; Chordata; Aves; Galliformes; Phasianidae.